This 253-nucleotide ribosomal RNA is filed under the name uncultured bacterium. Its description in RNAcentral is "partial 16S ribosomal RNA". It matches the Rfam family "Bacterial small subunit ribosomal RNA", at positions 524 to 776 of the family's 1533-position model. The record is from RNAcentral.
UACGUAGGGUGCGAGCGUUGCCCGGAUUUAUUGGGCGUAAAGGGCGCGCAGGCGGUCACGCACGUCCGUUGUGAAAUCGCUCGGCUCAACUGGGCGGGGUCAGCGGAUACGGCGCGACUGGAGCAAGCUAGGGGGCAAUGGAAUUCCCGGUGUAGUGGUGGAAUGCGUAGAUAUCGGGAGGAACACCUGUGGCGAAAGCGGCUCACUGGACCACAACUGACGCUGAGGCGCGAAAGCUAGGGGAGCAAACAGG